RNAcentral lists this long non-coding RNA (9785 nucleotides) under Malus domestica (apple). Its description in RNAcentral is "long non-coding RNA (MDOM_LNC010359)". Lineage: Eukaryota; Viridiplantae; Streptophyta; Magnoliopsida; Rosales; Rosaceae. The record is from RNAcentral.
UCUCUCUCUCACUCUCUCUCUCUCUUCACCAAAACGAAUUGUUUCGCUUUGCCUUUGCUUUCUGGUUGUGAUGCUUUGUGGAAUUUGGUUAUCUAGUUCGUUGUAUCAAUUAGAACGCGUCGUUGAUAGUUAAUUUAUGGAAUCUGGCAAUCGUUAAAAUUAUUUUAUAUUUUUAAACGAACAGUAUAUAAUCCUUUUCUGGAUUUUGAGUUUUGGGCAGAUGCACUAUCUACUUUUGAGAUAACCCUUUAGUAUUUCUUAUAGUUAGAAGGUGUAAAGAUUAUAUUUUAAUUGUGAAAAGGAAAAGAUUGGAUUUAAUAGCGAUUUCUGCAGCUGCAGCCUGCAAUUGGAUUUUGAUUGUGAAAAGGAAAAGAUUGGAUUUAAUAGCGAUUUCUGCAGCUGCAACCUGCAUCUGCCAAUAUCAAUACCAUGUGGAACUAUAGAAAUUAUGGAUGCAUGCUCAAUUAGAAGUGGCAUUGUGGAAGGUGUUAAGAGUUUAUGAUUCUUUUGAGAGGGAGAUGUGAUGGAUAAAUCGAUUUAGAUGGAUGGUGGGUUGCAUUAAGUAGUUUUGACUGAUGUAGAUGUCAUAUUGAGUCAGAGAAGAAAGUAAGUUUCGAUCAAUUUGUUUAAAGUUCAGAGCCAUUUGCAUUGGCCGGUGUCAUCAAGGAUAUGUAUGAAAGGCCGAAAUUUUCAUCCUUUAUUUACUCGUUUCUGUUUUUUUGUAAUUAAAUCAAAGAUGAAAAUUUCGGCCUUGUAGAUGAUGUCAGUGAUGGCUAGUUUUUCAGGGUCAGAAGAUGAGUAGCUUAAGUAGGAUUUAUUUGGUUUAGAUUGGGUUAGGGAUUAAAAAAAAGUUAUUAGGGUUGGGGUCUCAUCCUUGCUUCUUCUGCCAUUGUUUCUCAACAAGACUUGGUGGCAUUUAAUAGUUAGAGACCUUUUUUCUGCUGUACAAGACUAUGGUUGCGCUUUUUCUUGGAUCACUAAGGUUGUUGGCUUGUUUCUGUUAGUCUUUCAAAUUUUUUGUCUGAUUUCAUCUGAUGUGAAACUCCGCCUAUGUCUUACAUGGCCGGUCCCAAGCCCGGAUAAAGGAGGAGGGGGAGGGCGUCAGGUAGUCGACAGCCGGCACUCCAUGAUCACGUCGAAUCCUUAUGAAAAUGAAUCCAGAACAAAAUCGCGCUAAAGCUAGGGCGUCACCCGUAAGUGGCACGCUGUGUGGCCCGAGCACAGUGAUAAGUGAGCAAGGGUCGCUGUAUCUCCAUCGGCACCCGGAUGCAGUGUUAAAUGAGCAAGGGGGCCAUAGAAACUUCUUUUCGAACGACUCCACUCAAAGUUGUUUGGGAGCAUAUGCUCCUAUCAACUUUACCCGGGACACACAAAAGAAGUACUUUGAUCCUAUUAGAUGGGGGAGGGUGAAGAAGCUAGGACAGAAGGGUAGAGUUCAAGAGAGCAAAAUGCGUUUAGGAACGUGGAAUAUAGGAACCUUAACGGGAAAAUCUAUGGAAGUAGUGGUGGAAGUUAUGGUGAGGAGAAGGAUAAAUAUUAUGUGCCUACAAGAAACUAAGUGGGUUGGUAGUAAGGCAAAGGAUCUAGAAAACUCAGGGUUUAAACUUUGGUAUUCGGGCACAAAUAGAACGAGAAACGGUGUCGGCAUCAUCGUGGACAAGACCUUGGUACAAGAUGUUGUAGAUGUCAAGAGGGUAGGAGAUAGAGAAUCAUGGCAAUCAAGAUUGUAAUAGGACAAGAACUUAUCAAUGUGAUUAGUGCGUACGCACCUCAAGUAGGGUUGGAUACGAGUUCGAAGGAGAAAUUUUGGGAAGAUCUUGGAGACUUGGUGCAAGGAAUUGCUCAGACGGAGAAGUUAUUUAUAGGAGGAGAUUUAAAUGGACACGUGGGCAGGGAGACAGGCAACUAUGGAGGUUUUCAUGGUGGCCAUGGUUUUGGGGAGAGAAACGAGAAUGGGGAAGCUAUCUUGGAUUUUGCAAUGGCAUAUGAUCUCUUCUUAGCCAACACCUUCUUUAAGAAGAGAGAAGAACAUAUGAUCACCUACAAGAGUGGGUCGUCAAAAACACAAAUAGAUUUUCUUCUAAUGAGGAAAGGGGAUCGUAUAACUUGUAAGGAUUGCAAAGUUAUACCAGGAGAGAGCGUGGCUAAUCAACAUCGCUUGUUGGUGAUGGAUGUACAUAUCAAAAGAGUAAGACAAAAGAACAAGACUUGGAAGUGCCCAAGGACUAGAUGGUGGAAUCUAAAAGAAGAAAAACAAGUCAUUUUCAAAAGAAAGGUAAUCACCCAAUGUGUGUGGGAUAGAGAGGGGGAAGCUAGCCAAAUGUGGGAUUCCAUGGCUAGUUGUAUCCGAAAAGUAGCAAAAGAGGUAUUAGGAGAGUCCAAGGGCUUUGCCCCACACCAAAAGGAAUCUUGGUGGUGGAAUGAGGAGGUACAAACAAAGGUGAAGGCUAAGAAGGAAUGUUGUAAAAGCCUUAUACAAGGAGAGGACUGAUGAAAAUGGUGAAAGGUAUAGAAAAGCGAAGCAAGAGGCGAAGAAAGCUGUCAGAGAAGCUAAGUUAGCGGCUUACGACGAUAUGUAUAAACGACUAGAUACCAAAGAAGGAGAGUUGGAUAUCUAUAAACUAUCUAGAGCAAGGGAAAAGAAGACAAGGGACCUAAACCAAGUGAGGUGCAUCAAGGAUGAGGAUGGAAAGGUUCUUGCUACAGAGAACGCGGUUAAAGACAGAUGGAGAGGUUAUUUUCAUAAUCUUUUCAAUGAAGGACAUGAAAUGAGUGCUUCUUUAGGGGAGUUGAGUAACUCAGAAGAGUGUAGAAACUACUCUUUUUAUCGUCGAAUCCGGAAGGAAGAAGUGGUUGUAGCUUUGAAGAAGAUGAAGCAUAAAAAAGCAAUAGGCCCAGACAAUAUACCAAUCGAAGUGUGGAAACUUUUGGGAGAGACAGGUAUAACAUGGCUCACUGACCUUUUUCAAUAGGAUUUUGAAAACGAAGAAGAUGCCAAAUGAGUGGCGAACGAGCACUUUGGUGCCUAUCUACAAGAAUAAGGGCGACGUACAAAAUUGCAUGAACUAUAGGGGUAUUAAGCUAAUGAGUCAUACAAUGAAGCUCUGGGAGAGAGAGUCAUUGAGCAUAGAUUGAGGCAAGAGACACGGGUUUCGGACAACCAAUUCGGGUUCAUGCCAGGGCGCUCAACUAUGGAGGCAAUCUAUCUCUUACGAAGAUUGAUGGAAAGAUAUAGAGAUGGGAAAAAGGAUUUACACAUGGUCUUUAUAGAUUUGGAAAAAGCGUAUGAUAGGGUCCCAAGAGACAUUCUUUGGAGGAUUUUAGAGAAGAAAGGAGUACGAGUAGCAUAUAUCCAAGCUAUAAAGGAUAUGUAUGAAGGAGCAAAGACUGCCGUAAGAACUCAUGAAGGACAAACCGAAAGCUUUCCCAUAACUGUAGGAUUACAUCAAGGCUCAUCCUUAAGUCCUUACCUUUUUGCGUUGGUAAUGGAUGAGUUAACAGGACAUAUUCAAGAUGAUAUUCCUUGGUGUAUGCUUUUCGCAGACGAUAUAGUGUUGAUAGAUGAAACUCAGGAAGGGGUAAAUGCAAAGCUUAACCUUUGGAGAGAAGUGUUGGAAUCUAAAGGUCUUCGCCUAAGCCGAUCAAAGACAGAAUAUAUGGAGUGCAAGUUCAGUGCAAAUGGAGGCCAAAACGAGUUAGGGGUGAGGAUCGGAGAUCAAGAAAUACCAAAGAGCGACCGUUUUCGUUACCUAGGAUCUAUCUUGCAAAAGAACGGAGAAUUAGAUGGAGAUCUCAACCACAGAAUACAAGCUGGAUGGAUGAAGUGGAAGAGUGCAUCCGGCGUAUUGUGUGACCACCGUAUGCCACUGAAGCUCAAGGGAAAAUUUUAUAGGACGGCAAUAAGGCCGGCGAUGCUGUAUGGCACAGAAUGUUGGGCGGUGAAACAUCAACACGUACACAAAAUGGGUGUAGCGGAGAUGAGGAUGCUUCGUUGGAUGUGUGGGCACACGAGAAAGGAUAAGAUUAGGAAUGAGGAUAUCCGGGGUAAAGUAGGAGUAGCCGAAAUUGAAGGAAAGAUGAGAGAAAAUCGGUUACGGUGGUUUGGACAUGUGCAAAGAAGGCCUACUGACGCUCCGAUUAGAAGAUGCGACUAUGGGACAGAGGUUCAGGGCCGAAGGGGUAGAGGAAGACCUAGGAAAACUUUGGAAGAGACUCUAAGAAAAGACUUAGAGUACUUGGAUCUAACGAAGGACAUGACUCAGGAUCGAGCACAAUGGCGUUCUAAGAUUCAUAUAGCCGAUCCCACUCAGUGACUUGGAUUUUCCAAGUCUCCAACCGAGAAGUUUUCCUCACUCGGGAAAUUAAGGGAACACUACCCCAACCUACAUGCUCUACUCAGAAAGCUUCAACAUACAAGCUUCAACAAAAGAAAAUUCAAAGAACUUAGCGAAGAAGGCUUUGGUGUAUUUAACACAAUACGUUGAAAAUGAAGGAAAGCUUAUUUAUUGAUAUCCCCGAUAAGCUACAAAUAUGUACAUAUACAUGAGUCAAAAUAAACACACAAGAGGGAGCCUUCACAAAGGUUGCUUAGGAGAAGUCUCAGCAGUCGGUAGAGCCCCAGAAAGAGAAGGCAUCGGAGGGGGAUCAUUUGGAGCCUCAGUACUGGACAGAACCCUAGAAGGAGGAGGCAUCAGAGGUUGAUCAUUCGGAGCUUCAUUACGUGGUACAGCCCCAGAAGACGAAGGCAAUAAAUGCCUUUGGAACAAACCCACAAAUCUCUGAUGAUCAAGUAAAACCUGACCAUCAGUUUCCUUCAUCUGGUCAAGCUUCCUCUUCAUGUUUGUAGGAUAGUCAUGUGCGAGCCGGUGCAACUGUUUAUUCUCAUGUUUGAGCCCUCUAAUCUCCUGUUUGAGACUCAUCACUUCAGCCGCCAAUGAUUCAACUUGGCGGGUUCGAGCAAAUAGGCGUUGGGCCAUAUUAGACACAGAACCUGCACACUGAACAGUGAGAGCCAGCGAAUCCUUAACAGCUAACUCAUCAGACCGUUUGGAAAGUAGUCUGUUAUCUUUGGGAGUGAGAAAGGUUCCUGGCCACCACCGCAGCGGUCAUAUCAUUCUUCAUCACGGAAUCCCCAACGGUAAGAGGACCAGUAGGGGAGACGAAUGAUGGGCGCCAUAUGUUGUCUGGAGAAGGCGGGGCUGCCUCUUCAACAAGGUUCAAGUCAAAACGACGGUCGGAGGGGCCAGACAUUUUCAAAGGUGUUGAAGAGAGAAGAGGUCGGACAAAUCAAGAUCUUAGAAGUGCAAGAAUGAAGCUUCUACUAGUGGAGAUUCAAGUGUGCUUUGGAACUUAAUGCCAGCCCCUAUAAAAAUCUGCACUCGACGGAGCUUCAGAAAUCGAAGAGGCGCCUGCUCAGAAAUCGAAGAGGCGUUUGCUUUCUCAAAAGCUGGGCUGCUUAGAGAUCACGAGGGUUGAUCUCAGAAAUCGAAGAGGCGUUUGCUUUCUCAAAAGUUGGGCUGCUCAAAGACCACGAAGGCGGAUCUCAGAAAUCGACGAGGCGCUCGCUUUCUCAAAAGCUGGGCUCCCCAGAGACCACGAGGGCCGAUCUCAGAAAUCGAAGAGGCACCUACUUUUCCAGCCUUGUCAGCACUUGUCACACGCACACUCAGCUUUGCGGAAAUUAUGGGCAUUCUGUCGAAGACUUCUGGGGAAGUAGAAAACACAUGAAUCUUACUUUUCAAUCACCCACUUCCCACACGCAACAAUAGCUCAUGGGUACCACAGAUAACUUUGCCAAAGUUCUCUGCCAAAGUUGAGCACGUGAAGCUUGAAACUCCCACUACAUCGCUCUGACCAAGAAGGGUAAAAGAAUAGCAAAGAAACAGCACUAACAAAGUUUAGACCCAUAAAUUUUGAAGGUCUAGCUACCAUAUUAUUACCCACAAGGGUAAAGGAACAGUACCACUGCUGGAUAAUUGGAAAGUCCCUGUGUGUCAACCUCUGUGCUUCGUGGCAAGGUAGACUAGCAAACAUGUCCAACCUUUACUCACAUUCGAGAAAACACUCCCAAUAAGAUUGCUUGCUCCAAAAUCGAAGAGGCACCGUCCUCCGAAUCUCGAGAGCCAGACUCCCAACAUGACUACUUUCUUAAAAAUCGAAGAGAGGGUAAAGGAACAGUACCAUUGCUGGAUAAUUGGAAAGUCCCUGUGUGUCAACCUCUGUGCUUCGUGGCAAGGUAAGACUAGCAAACAUGCCCAACCUUUACUCACAUUCGAGAAAACACUCCCAACAAGAUUGCUUGCUCCAAAAUUGAAGAGGCACCGCCCUCCGAAUCUCGAGAGCUAGACUCCCAACAUGAUUACUUUCUCAAAAAUCGAAGAGACACUGCUCCCGAAUCUUCGAGAGCCAGACCCCCAGCAUGAUUGCUUUCUCAAAAAUCGAUGAGGCAUCGUUCUCCGAAUCAAUCGAAGAGGCGCUCGCUUUCUCAAAAGCUGGGCUGCUCAGAGACCACGAGGGCCGAUCUCAGAAAUCGAAGAGGCACCUACUAUUCUAGCCUUGUCAGCACCUGUCACACGCACACUCAGCUUUGCAGAAAUUAUGGGCAUUCUGUCGAAGACUUCUGGUGAAGUAGAAAGCACAUGAAUCUUACUGUUCAAUCACCCACUUCCCACACGCAACAAUAGCUCAUGGGUACCACAGAUAACUUUGCCAAAGUUCUCUGCCAAAGUUGAGCACGUGAAGCUUGCAGCUCCCACUACAUCGCUCUGACCAAGAAAGGUAAAAGAAUAGCAAAGAAACAGCACUAACAAAGUUUAGACAUAUAAAUUUUGAAGGUCUAGCUACCAUAUUAUUACCCACAAGGGUAACGGAACAGUACCAUUGCUGGAUAAUUGGAAAGUUCCUGUGUGUGUCAACCUCUGUGCUUCUUCGUGGCAAGGUAGACUAGCAAACAUGCCCAACCUUUACUCACAUUCGAGAAAACACUCCCAACAAGAUUACUUGCUCCAAAAUCGAAGAGGCACCGUCCUCCGAAUCUCGAGAGCCAGACUCCCAACAUGACUACUUUCUCAAAAGCGAAGAAGAUAGGGUAAAGGAACAGUACCAUUGCUAGAUAAUUGGAAAGUCCCUGUGUGUCAACCUUUGUGCUUCGGGGCAAGGUAGACUAGCAAACAUGCCCAACCUUUACUCACAUUCGAGACAACACUCCCAACAGGAUUGCUUGCUCCAAAAUCGAAGAGGCACCGCCCUCCGAAUCUCGAGAGCCAGACUCCCAACAUGAUUACUUCCUCAAAAAUCGAAGAGACACUACUCUCCGAAUCUCGAGAGCCAGACCCCCAGCAUGAUUGCUUUCUCAAAAAUCGAAGAGGCAUCGUUCUCCGAAUCUUGAGAGCCAGAUACCACAGACCACUUUUUUCAAAGUGCUCUGACAGAGUUAAAACAUGUGAAACUGGCAGCUCCCACUACCGUGCUAUGAACCAAGCAGGGUAAAUGAAUAGCAUUACUACUUGUUGUUAGGGAGACUCCUAUAUAUGUCGACCUCCAUCCCCAACGGACAGGCAGACCUGCAAAAAUGCUCAACCCUUCAUCAUAUCUAAGAGGGCACUCCCAACGAAGCCUUUCGAAAUAUUCAGCUUUCUUUCCCCCCGAUAAUACCUCUGCAAACAAGCUAUAUACUAGAGCAAGAAUAUCUCAUAUCAUCAGGGUUAAAAAGCAAGAGUAUCCCAUAUCAUGCUUUUUCCCUGUCUUUUCCUUUGGCCUUGUUUUUACCUGCAAGACAAGGAGAAAGAGAGCAAUCAGUCAGCACUUGGAAUCAAGCUUCCAGCCAGGAACUGACUGCCUGGAACCCCUUACCUGAUUACUUACCUGGCAUUGCUCUCGAGUACUCAUCUUCAACAUCUUAUGUUUCCAGGGAAGAUUUCCGCAUCUGCUUGAGGAACAGAUAGGGCAAGUGCGAAGGAUACAAGGAAGCAUGUGGAGACAAGCGUAACAGCACACGUGCCGAUACAUCCAUUACUCUGUCAAAAGCAAAAGUAUCCCAUAUCAGCAGGGUGGAACGUACUCUAGAUUUGAUGGACUUGUUUUGACCCUCAAAUUCUUCAGUCGGCCUUAUACUCUGGAGGAAACCAGAAAACCCUCCAGCUCAGUUCAAGAAAUAAGCCUGUGGAAAGUUACUUCUUCAAAAGCAAAAAGUAUCUCAUAUCAUCUCUUCUCAUUUUUCUUCUCUUUAUCCUUCAUGCUGCUGCAAGAUGGGGAGAAGGUGAACAAUCAGUCGGAGCUCUGAUUGCUUACCUUGUCUGUCACCUCUUUCAGCAGACCCCCUAGCUCGGCGACUUGGGGGACUCCUACUACAUGGUUUGUAUCGCGCUUGACCAAGCUUGAAACUACAAGUAAGCUUCAAGUGAAAUUGAUACAUUACCUUGUGCAUCUCCACCAGUUAAAGAUAUCACCCCUGGAUGGAGGAAGAGUACUUCCAGAGAAGAUGCCACAUCUACCUAUGAGACAGAUAAGGCAAGUCAAGACGACACCACACUCCGAUACUUAGAAGUUUCGUGAUUACGAGAUCAUUCUCCCACAAUAUUUCCUAAUGUCAUUUGUACUAAAUCAUUCACUUGUACUCAUUAAAGGAGAGCUUGAACCCAUGUACUUGUGUAAACCCUUCACAAUUAAUGAGAACUCUUCUAUUCCGUGGACGUAGCCAAUCUGGGUGAACCACGUACAUCUUGUGUUUGCUUUCCUAUCUCUAUAUCCAUUUAUAUACUUAUCCACACUAAUGACCGGAGCAAUCUAGCGAAGAUCACAAAAAGCGACCGUUUUCGCUACCUAGGAUCUAUCUUGCAAGAGAACGGAGAAUUAGAUGGAGAUCUCAACCAUAGAAUACGAGCUGGAUGGAUGAAGGGUAAGAGUGCAUCCGGCGUGUUGUGUGACCGUCGUAGGCCACUGAAGCUCAAGGGAAAAUUUUAUAGGACGGCAAUAAGGCCAGCGAUGUUGUAUGGCACAGAAUGUUGGGCGGUGAAGCAUCAACACGUACACAAAAUGGGUGUAGCGGAGAUGAGGAUGCUUUGUGGAUGUGUGUGGGCACACGAGAAAGGAUAAGAUUGGGAAUGAGGAUAUCCGAGGUAAAGUAGGAGUAGCCGAAAUUGUAGGAAAGAUGAGAGAAAAUCGGCUCCGGUGAUUUGGACAUGUGCAAAGAAGGCCGACUGACGCUCCGGUUCGAAGAUGUGACUACGGGACAGAGGUUCAGGGCCGAAGGGGUAGAGGAAGACCUAGGAAAACUUUGGAAGAGACUCUAAGAAAAGACUUAGAGUACUUGGAUCUAACGGAGGACAUGAUACAAAACCGAGCGCAAUGGCGUUCUAGGAUUCAUAUAGCCGACCCCACUUAGUGGGAAAAGGCUUUGUUGUUGUUGUUGUUGUUGUAUUUCAUCUGAUGUGAACAUCAGAUUAACGAAACUGCAUCAAGGUUUUAUGAAAAUUUUCACAUUUGAUAUUGUUCAAGGUAAUAAAACUUUGUGGAAUUUGAUUCAUCUAGGAAUAUUUCGUGAAGUUAGAAAUAUUUCUUGAGUAUCUGCAGUUUCAAAGUUUUGAGAUGGGUUACAUAGAACCUAUAAAUUCUUAUACUAUUGCUGAAAAUUAAAUUCCAGUAUCUUAAAUGUUUCCAAACAAUUUGGUUGAGCGACCAACCCAUUUAUUCUGUUGGAACUGGCUAUUCCUUUACUAUUCAUUAUGAGUUUUUUUGUUGAUUAUAUAUUCAUCAAGCCAUUCUUAGACAACUUUGUAUAAUUUUAG